RNAcentral lists this ribosomal RNA (253 nucleotides) under uncultured bacterium. RNAcentral describes it as "partial 16S ribosomal RNA". It matches the Rfam family "Bacterial small subunit ribosomal RNA", at positions 524 to 776 of the family's 1533-position model. The record is from RNAcentral.
UACAGAGGGUGCGAGCGUUGUUCGGAUUUACUGGGCGUAAAGGGUGCGUAGGCGGCUUGUCAAGUCAGUUGUGAAAUCUCCGAGCUUAACUCGGAACGGUCAACUGAUACUGUCAUGCUAGAGUGCAGAAGGGGCAAUCGGAAUUCUUGGUGUAGCGGUGAAAUGCGUAGAUAUCAAGAGGAACACCUGAGGUGAAGACGGGUUGCUGGGCUGACACUGACGCUGAAGCACGAAAGCUAGGGUAGCAAACGGG